This 936-nucleotide long non-coding RNA is filed under the name Chrysolophus pictus (golden pheasant). RNAcentral's name for it is "lncRNA (ENSCPIG00010014167.1)". Lineage: Eukaryota; Metazoa; Chordata; Aves; Galliformes; Phasianidae. The record is from RNAcentral.
AAGAUUGUCACCCAGCAGAGGAGUGACUGGCAGUACUCAGUCUUCAACUAUCAAUGAAUUCUUGGACUCUUCUGCCAAAAAUUAUUCAGGAGGCACUUUGGACAAACUUACUGCACAACUGAGCGCUGUGGAAGAAGCUUCUCUCCAAAGACGUCAUGCUGCAGCACGUCAGGCUCUGUCAGGAAAGGCUCCUAGUGCGUAUGUCCAGCUGUUUCAAAGGGACCUUGGAAUCACUCCUGCACCAGGCAGCUCCCAGCAACAAUUACUGGAGCCAACAACACGUAGUUCUCUGGUCUCAGAUGGAAAGAUUGUCACCCAAGCCCACAGCUUCCCCCUGAUUAACACAGAAAGCAGCUGCAGAGGAUUUGGUCCUGCUAGCAGACUAUUUCUAAACUCAACUGGUGCACCUGCUGCUGAAGCUUUGCCCGUUCGGAGCCCUCUUCCCCCUGCUCAUCUUCCUGAAGCUUUCGAAGCUCAGCAUCAAGGUCCAAGGGGAGCUGAAAAUGGAGUGGACAGAUUGAAAGAGACUGAACUUCAUAGUGACAAUCUUCAGAGAAAAUACAGCAAAGCCAAGAUCGGUUCUUCCCAUGUGCCUCAGCUCACCAACUCCAAACCUGUUCUGCCUCCAAUCCCACCUGGGCGAAAGGGCACCAACCCUUGAUGGCCACUGCUACAAUCACACUGAAGCUUUCUGUCUAACAGCAGUACUGAAUUUGAUAGAAUUUCUCUUUGACAAAGCAAAGUCCAUCAAAGAUUAUUUCUAAAUCCAUUUCUGAUUAACUCUCCGAAAAAGUUAUUUAUUUAUAACUUUAUUAAAAAGUAAUUUCUGUGUUUCCCAACACUAGAAAUGAUUUCCCCAGGCAUUCUCAGCUGGGAAAUGUUGUAGAAUUUUUCCUCACCGCCACAUGUCCAUAUCUUCUGUUAAUUUAUUUAUUU